Molecule: non-coding RNA, 631 nt
Organism: Megalopta genalis
Lineage: Eukaryota; Metazoa; Arthropoda; Insecta; Hymenoptera; Halictidae
Source: RefSeq, a predicted model, not a curated record
UAUUUUUCUUUCGAAGAAACUAUCUGAAGUCGUAUUAGCUGUCCACCCCACUCUUACUAUUUCAGGCUUGCAACGUAGGAGUGGAGUGGACAGCUAUUAUGGCUUCAGCUAUCUUCUUUCGAAAAAUUACGUAUAGAAAUAGUGUUAGAUAUAAUUUGGUUCAGUUGUUAGAAUUACUAAAUUACACAAAGAUCCAGUAAUUAAGAAUAAUAUAAUACAAACGUCUACAAUACGAGACUUUUCUUGUCAAAUUACGCAGGCAUACAGAUGGAUAAUAGAUUCACGAGAUAUGGAACAUAAGGAAAGACUCAGCAAAUUACGAGAUUUUUAUUCGGUAUACCGUUGUCAUACAAUUUUCAACUGCACAAAAACAUGUCCAAAGGGUUUGAAUCCUGGCAGAGCGAUAGCUCAAAUAAAACGCCUGUUGGCGGGACUUACUAAAAAGGAACGACCAGAUAUGGAAACUCCAAUUCCACAUCCCUGUAAUGGCGAGGAUAUAUACCAGUGCAGGGAGGAAUAACUACUCGAAAGAACAAGAGAUGUAAUAAACAUAAUAUUAUUCUUUAAACAAUUUUGUGAUUGUAUAUACACCAGGUUUUUUUUUGCAUUACAAAGUCUUAUUUACUCUAAA